GUAAUGUCAUGACGUCAUCCUCACCAGUCUGGUUGGUGGCAUGAACGCCAGGGACACUCUGGCUCAAAAACUCCUAGUAAGAAACACUCUGGAAGAGCAUGAACGGUCCGCCACAUCCCAGGAGUCUGCAGCAGCUGAGGCGGAUCUGGCUCAUCUGACAUAGGAAGGACCAGACCUCCUACAGAGAUCCCAGAGUGUGCUCGGAGUCACAUAGCUGCCUGGAUCCAGCCACAGGUUUGAUCAUCUGCCUCUCCAGAUGAUGAAGAGUAAACAGCAGCUGGAGUCACUCUUCUGAUGAGAGCAGGGCUCUACUGUGCUUCUGCUGCAGGAGAAGAGUUUGUUCAUGUCUCUUUUGGGUAUUAACAGGAAACAAAAGCCUAAUCACUCAGGCAGCAUGACUCAAGACUUAAACAUGUGGCAGAAUUCCCCAGAGUUUUCGCGGACUGCUUUCGAUUUCUCCUCAGUCUCCUUAAAUUUCAAACUGGCACGUCCUGACAAUAGUUUAGUUUAGUUUAUUUAUUUAUUUAGCAAGGGACAGUGUGCAAUGACAUUGAUCGUUCAUACAAAGUAAAUAAAAACAUGGCUGCACCAGAUUUAGCAAGUCGUUAAUUUCCAUCUGUUGUCCCACAUAAAACUGACACAAAACAGACAUAAAAGUACCAAAAACAAAGGCAGA
Cheilinus undulatus (humphead wrasse) is the source of this 676-nucleotide long non-coding RNA. RefSeq lists it as uncharacterized. The transcript is spliced from 3 exons. NCBI's taxonomy places the organism in Eukaryota, Metazoa, Chordata, Actinopteri, Labriformes, Labridae. The record is from RefSeq and is a predicted model, not a curated record.